AGUGGCGAACGGGUGAGUAAUAGAUCGGAACGUAUCCCGUAGAGGGGGAUAGCUCGGCGAAAGCCGGAUUAAUACCGCAUAUGCUCUACGGAGGAAAGCAGGGGACCCGCAAGGGCCUUGCGCUAUGGGAGCGGCCGAUGUCCGAUUAGCUUGUUGGUGGGGUAAAGGCUUACCAAGGCGACGAUCGGUAGCUGGUCUGAGAGGAUGAUCAGCCACACUGGGACUGAGACACGGCCCAGACUCCUACGGGAGGCAGCAGUGGGGAAUUUUGGACAAUGGGGGAAACCCUGAUCCAGCCAUGCCGCGUGAGUGAAGAAGGCCUUCGGGUUGUAAAGCUCUUUUGGCCGGAAAGAAAGGGUUCGGGUGAAUACCCCGGAUCUCUGACGGUACCGGCAGAAUAAGCACCGGCUAACUACGUGCCAGCAGCCGCGGUAAUACGUAGGGUGCGAGCGUUGAUCGGAAUUACUGGGCGUAAAGAGUGCGUAGGCGGUUCUUUGUGUCCGCUGUGAAAGCCCCGGGCUUAACCUGGGAAUGGCAGUGGA
This 542-nucleotide ribosomal RNA is filed under the name uncultured bacterium. RNAcentral's name for it is "bacterial SSU rRNA". It matches the Rfam family "Bacterial small subunit ribosomal RNA", at positions 94 to 630 of the family's 1533-position model. The record is from RNAcentral.